This 521-nucleotide ribosomal RNA is filed under the name uncultured Glomus. RNAcentral describes it as "SSU rRNA". It matches the Rfam family "Eukaryotic small subunit ribosomal RNA", at positions 569 to 1092 of the family's 1831-position model. Lineage: Eukaryota; Fungi; Glomeromycota; Glomeromycetes; Glomerales; Glomeraceae. The record is from RNAcentral.
AGCAGCCGCGGUAAUUCCAGCUCCAAUAGCGUAUAUUAAAGUUGUUGCAGUUAAAAAGCUCGUAGUUGAAUUUCGGGAUUAAUAUGUUGGUCGUGCCUUGGUACGUACUGGCAUUAUUGAUUCCUACCUUCUGAAGAACCUCGAUGUCAUUAAUUUGGUGUCUUGGGGAAUCAGGACCGUUACUUUGAAAAAAUUAGAGUGUUUAAAGCAGGCUCACGCUUGAAUACAUUAGCAUGGAAUAAUGAAAUAGGACGUUUGAUUCUAUUUUGUUGGUUUCUAGGAUCGACGUAAUGAUUAAUAGGGAUAGUUGGGGGCAUUAGUAUUCAAUUGUCAGAGGUGAAAUUCUUGGAUUUAUUGAAGACUAACUACUGCGAAAGCAUUUGCCAAGGAUGUUUUCAUUAAUCAAGAACGAAAGUUAGGGGAUCGAAGACGAUCAGAUACCGUCGUAGUCUUAACCAUAAACUAUGCCGACUAGGGAUCGGAUGAUGUUAAUUUUUUAAUGACUCAUUCGGCGCCUUACG